This 253-nucleotide ribosomal RNA is filed under the name uncultured bacterium. RNAcentral's name for it is "partial 16S ribosomal RNA". It matches the Rfam family "Bacterial small subunit ribosomal RNA", at positions 524 to 776 of the family's 1533-position model. The record is from RNAcentral.
UACGUAGGGUGCAAGCGUUGUCCGGAAUUAUUGGGCGUAAAGAGCUCGUAGGCGGUUUGUCGCGUCUGCUGUGAAAACGCGGGGCUCAACUCCGCGCCUGCAGUGGGUACGGGCAGACUAGAGUGCAGUAGGGGAGACUGGAAUUCCUGGUGUAGCGGUGGAAUGCGCAGAUAUCAGGAGGAACACCGAUGGCGAAGGCAGGUCACUGGGCCGCAACUGACGCUGAGGAGCGAAAGCGUGGGGAGCGAACAGG